GUGAGGAAUAUUGGUCAAUGGACGAGAGUCUGAACCAGCCAAGUCGCGUGAAGGAAGACGGUUCUAUGAAUUGUAAACUUCUUUUGUGCAGGAAUAAAGUGGGUUACGUGUAACCUUUUGUAUGUACUGUACGAAUAAGGAUCGGCUAACUCCGUGCCAGCAGCCGCGGUAAUACGGAGGAUCCGAGCGUUAUCCGGAUUUAUUGGGUUUAAAGGGUGCGUAGGUGGAUUGAUAAGUCAGCGGUGAAAGUUUGCAGCUUAACUGUAAAAUUGCCGUGGAAACUGUCGGUCUUGAGUGCAAAUGAGGUAGGCGGAAUGUGUUGUGUAGCGGUGAAAUGCUUAGAUAUAACACAGAACUCCGAUUGCGAAGGCAGCUUACUGGGAUGCAACUGACACUGAUGCACGAAAGCGUGGGUAUCAAACAGGAUUAGAAACCCCUGUAGUCC
This 445-nucleotide ribosomal RNA is filed under the name uncultured bacterium. RNAcentral's name for it is "partial 16S ribosomal RNA". It matches the Rfam family "Bacterial small subunit ribosomal RNA", at positions 354 to 796 of the family's 1533-position model. The record is from RNAcentral.